UGCGAACGUCAGGUCUCCCCUGAAUGAAAAUGUGAUACAAGGGAGGUAAGUGCAGUCGGGCUGUCUUCCUUCAGUAAUCUGUGGAGAAAAUUGCUGCCCCACAUCUCAAGCACUUAGCCCAGAACAUACCUGUGCUGGCAGUGCCAGAGGACCAACAAUCAGGUCUUAAGAUCUGCCACUCUGCCAGAAGCUGUUAAAUCAGCCAAGCUGAAGAAGCAAGAGCAGCAUCUCCUGCUUGUUCAGAUUGAGUGGUCUAUCUACCAGAAGAUGGUUUCUGACUGCGAGACCACCUGUCAAGACCUGCAGUUGUCUCUGGGGAGCCCUACUGAAGCAGCAAGCAAAGACAUCAGGUUGUAUUACAGAUUUGAUUUUCCUCAACAGGUGCACUCUCCUUUUGACCCUAUGCAGCCAGGGUCCAUCUACUUUUUAACAAGAACAAGUUUGUGCUCUGGUUAUUGUUCCUGGCAGACCAUACACAAGCUCCACCACAGUCUGGACCUUCACUUCCUGAUCACAGGCCACACAAAGUCUUCCCCUGACUGGUUGUUCGGCCUCAUCAAGCAGCACUUCAGAAAGACCUGAGUGAACACUGUGUCAGAGAUGGCUGGUAUGGUGAAGGACAGCACUGUGACAGGGGUUAAAAUCCCACAGCUGGUUGGACUGAAGGAUGUUACGGUGCUGGAAAAAACCUAUGGCUAGCAACCACACCUGACCUGUACUUCAGACCACUGCCACAGAUCAAGCAAUACCAGCACUUCAGCUUUAAUGCUCUGGAGCCUGGUGUUGUUGUCACCAAGGAGCGUUCGGACUCAGUCGGUACCUGCUGCGGAACGCUGACGUCUUUCCUCCUAUAGGUGGUCUGCCUGUACGAGCACCACCUGGACUGGACACAACUAGAUAAACAUAUAUUUUUAAAAGAUCAGGGAGUUUUGCAACGAAGAGGACAUGGACAUCAUAUGCCCUACACCAAAGUCAAGGGCAGGACAGAAACAGGCUCUCCGAAUAUAGGUUCCCUUGUUCAUGCGUGGUGCGGAUGGACCAGCUCAUCACUGGGUGCAAGUUCCCAGUCAUCUGGACUAUCUGCAGUGCCUAGGGCUGUGGCGGUUGCGAGAUUUCAUCAUUCGGUUAUUGUCAAGCAACUACACCUUAACAAUAAAUCCAUGAUUUACUUUAGGCAGGUCUAAAGAAGCAUGAUAUGAAGAAAAUGUAGUAUAGCAUGCUUUAAGUUGUCCUUAUGUUAGGUCCUGAUCUGGCUAUGCCAAAUGGCUGUGGGCUACACUAGUUCAUUUAACAAACAAGAUUUGCUUAGAAUUCAGUGGCAUUAUUUUAUAGUAUGAAGAAUACAAUUGGACAAAGCUGAAUAAAAUAGAAAGGAUAUUUUCUCCAAACGAUUUGAGGGAGCGCGCAAAUUUCUAUUCUGUGUUGAGCGGUUAACAAAGAAAUAGGUAUUCCUAUACGCUUAAUUUAGAAUUAUUAAUGUAACUUUAGUUGUUCUACAAACUUUGGGCUAUAUACAGUAUUUUGAUUUUGAAUACAUUGUAAGGCUGCAUGAUGCGAUUGUAAUGAUUAUAAAUAUAUAUUAUUUUGUUCUUUCUUUACUAGCAUUGACACUUAUAUUUUAUAUUUAUAUUGACACUUUCUAUUUUUGAUAUUGCUACUAUACAAAUAUGCAAGUAACCAUUUCACUGUACCCAUCCACUUAGCUAGACGUUGCUAUGGGGUGAUUAUAGCCUGAUUACAGGUGUGUCUGGAGGUGAUUACGGCCAUGUAACGAUCGUCUGGAAGAGGGGACCAAGAUGCAGCGUGGUAAGUGGUCAUAAUGAUUUUUAAUGAGACACUUCAAAAACAAACAGGGAAAACGAAAGCCAACAGUUCUGCCAGGUGAACACACACAAGACAGAAAAC
RNAcentral lists this long non-coding RNA (1905 nucleotides) under Salmo salar (Atlantic salmon). RNAcentral describes it as "lncRNA (ENSSSAG00000095486.1)". Lineage: Eukaryota; Metazoa; Chordata; Actinopteri; Salmoniformes; Salmonidae. The record is from RNAcentral.